RNAcentral lists this unclassified non-coding RNA (336 nucleotides) under soil metagenome. RNAcentral's name for it is "partial contains 5.8S ribosomal RNA, internal transcribed spacer 2, and large subunit ribosomal RNA". The stretch from base 1 to 120 matches the Rfam family "5.8S ribosomal RNA", at positions 35 to 154 of the family's 154-position model. The record is from RNAcentral.
GAUGAAGAACGCAGCGAAAUGCGAUAAGUAAUGUGAAUUGCAGAAUUCAGUGAAUCAUCGAAUCUUUGAACGCACAUUGCGCCCGCCAGUAUUCUGGCGGGCAUGCCUGUUCGAGCGUCAUUUCAACCAUCAAGCCCCCGGCUUGUGUUGGGGACCUGCGGCUGCCGCAGGCCCUGAAAAGCAGUGGCGGGCUCGCUGUCACACCGAGCGUAGUAGCAUACAUCUCGCUCUGGGCGUGCUGCGGGUUCCGGCCGUUAAACCACCUUCAUAACCCAAGGUUGACCUCGGAUCAGGUAGGAAGACCCGCUGAACUUAAGCAUAUCAAUAAGCGAAGGA